Molecule: long non-coding RNA, 511 nt
Organism: Ruditapes philippinarum (Manila clam)
Lineage: Eukaryota; Metazoa; Mollusca; Bivalvia; Venerida; Veneridae
Exons: 3
Source: RefSeq, a predicted model, not a curated record
AACCGUAAAAGCUACUUCCUUAUUAAACGAAAGUUUAUUCAAAAUCGUAGUUUAACAUUAGUUUUCAUAUAUUGUGACAAAUAAAGUCUUAAGUUAUUUUCUCAAAUUGAAAAACUUUAUGUGAUAUCUUAAUAUGAGGAUAAGUUGUUAUAAUAUAUUUAUAUAAAACUAUAUUAUAUAUAUUCUUACACGUGAUAAACGUGCUACUUCUUUAACAGGUCCUUGCUAACAUUAUAAUUGUGGACAAAUGAAUAUCAGGGAUACAGAUAUGAAAAACACUCUACUGGGACAACUGGGUCUAAUUUUACUUUUGUGUAACAUAGUUCUAGCAUUGAAUGAAUGUGGCUGGUAAAUGGAACAUCAAGAUGUGAAUACAACAACAAUGGAGACGCUGUUUGCUUGGAUGGUUGUAAUUGUCAGUUGUGUACAUGCUUGUAGUAACAAUUGUGUGAUAUGUUCUGGUGUAAGCAGUUGUAACACAUGCAAAAAUGGCUUCUAUAUUGGUUAUAAU